UUCUUGCACUUCUUCUCGAAGGAGAGAGGACUUCCAAGCCCUAGGAUCCCCUAAGGAUCUGCCAGGUCAGACGAGGGUCAUGGGGUUUGUGUGUCUCGUGGUCAGCCAACCCCCCCUUAGAUAUGCCACCAAGAGCCAGCCUGUUUUUACUUAGAAAUUGGCUGGGUCAUGAGGGAAGUUGACUGCAGCCACCUGGUCCCAAUGGUCCAUUCUUUCUGGGAUUCAGUUCAGUCUUCUGAGCUGUCGCCCUGAGCAAUAAACCUCUCUCCUCGUGUUUAUGAAAUUAGUUUUCUCUUUCAUGGUGCCUUUCUCUCUGAGAGGACAGAACAGGCCACACCCAUGUCCUGGUUGCCACCCAUUUACACACGUGGGGGCAGGUAGACGAUGGUGUGGCCUCUGGCUGUGCAUUUCUAGAAUUUCAUCCAAAUGCAGGAUGACCCAGGCAGCCUAUGGUCUGAAUAAGACUAUUUUAUCAGGUGCCAGAAAUUCCUUGCAUUGGCUCCUUUCCUUUUGACCAUGAGCAUCCCAGGGAGGAGCGAGGUCCUGGCUAUAUUUGCAGCUCCCAUCCCCUUUCUGGAAGGUCUAAAUCAUCUGGAACAGAGCCUUUGGCCCUUGAGCUUCUUUUAUCCACAAGAAUUGCCAAGGGAGCUUGUUUAAAAUGCAGAUUCCUAUACCCCCUCCUCAGAGAUUGGUCCAAGGAGGUCUGGGCAGGACCCGGGACUCUGCAUUUUCAAACCUCCAUGUCCAGGCGACUGCUGCAAGGGACCUGCCCACUCCUCCCUGAGAAAGGUGGCCCUGGAGACCUGGAUAAACUCCAUGGAAAACUGCACCUUUCUAAAUAUCUGUUUCAUCCUGUAUCCUUCCCCAGUUCUCCAGAGAGUUCGAUCUCCAGCCUCAUUUAAGGGCUGAGUCAUUUCGUUCUCAGAGCAACAAAGCGCUCACUCCAUGAAAUUCUAAAAACCCAUCCUCAGAGGACUCUGGUGGAACCCCUGCCACCACCCCUCAAAGGUAUUUGCAACGUAGCCUCAUUCCAUUCCGUGGGGCUCCCGGGUAGUAAAUGUGGGUGUACACGGGGCAUCGGCAGAGCAUGGCGGCACCAGCUGGCUCCAGGUCAGGACACUUGGUUAGAGAGAAGGAAGCUGGCACCCAGAGGGGCCCACAGGGACACUUCCCUGGGUCUCGACCCCACCUCUGCCUGGGCAGCUUGGCUGUGGGAACCGAUGGCGUCCGGCCCCUCUGCCACUAACCUCAGCGCCCUUCCCACCCAGCCUCACACCCCAGGAGUGGAGCCAGGCUGAGGCCAGGCCAGAGGGAGACACUGCUGGAUGCUAACCCCUGUGUGUGGGUCUUUUUAGGGUUCCUCGCUUCAUCCAGCAAGGCUGACCCUGCUAGGUGCCCCAGGAGCAGCUCCUUGUAAUCACAAUUGUCCAUAGUCCUAACAGCUGGUGUGUACUGAGUGAAGCCUGCAUGCCGGGCACAGCACUGAGUGUUUUCGGGUAGUGUUCCCGUGAAUCCUCACCAUAACCCUAGGAUGUAGGUACUAUCAUCUCCUUUUCAGACCUCUGGGAAGAUCAGUAAGUCCUGGGGCAGCAGGUAGAGAAAUUUAAGGAGCAACGCAAAACAGAGGCAUGGUCUGUUAGUCUCCGGAAGGGUAGGCUAGUGCCAAUGGGAAGUCCCCUGCUGCACCCAACUCGGGGCAUCUUUCCAUCAUCAGAAGAGGACACCCUGCUCCCAGCUUCUGUGCUAACACCCACACCCACCAGCUGGGCCCCAGGGCCCUUCUCAUCCCAUGGCCACCACUGGCUUGGAAGGGACUCUUUUGGAUUUCUCUUUCUCUAUAGUGUUUUUAGGAGAAUUUGGGGGCCGGGGGCGGGGCUGAGCAGCAACCUCUGCACCCAGGAUUUAUGGUUCCCAGGUCCCUUGUCACCUCCAAGAAAUCUGUCUGACUAGAUGUCUUAGGUAUCUGAAGGUUCACUGUCAACCUGAAUUUUCCUGAAAUUCUGGACCAAUAGCCCUAUGACAUCAGAACAACACAGCACUGCCCUAGCACCAAAGUCAACUUCUUCAUGCCCUGAAGCCAAAAGGGCUUCCGUGGAAGACCCUGGUGUUUGCUUAGGACCCUGGGCUGAGCCAGCCAUGAGGAGAGGAUGGGUGGAGGUGGCCUCCUUGGUUUGCUUUUAGGGGUUCAGAAAAGAAACCUGGCUGGGAGCAGUGCUUUGUAAGCUUUGUGAGUGUCUCCACAUUCCCAGUAGGCUCCCACUGUGUCUCAGGACCAAUUGGCCUUUCAGCCCAAAAAGAGCAAGUCCAACCCUUGGCCAGCGGCCUUCGCUCUGCUGCCGGCUGAAGCCCUGGCCUGGUGGAAGGAAGAGAUGCAGGAAGGUCAGGCUUGCUGUUGCCUUUCCAAUUCAGAUGUAGCCAUGACUUCGAAGUCCUCCUCGUGCCUCCUUCCACAAAUACAGGGCAUGAAUUGCUCAUCUUCCCAAGGAAUCUGUUUCAGGGAAGUGGCUAGGACACGUGGCCUAGGGCAGCCUGACCUAGACCUCACUGCAGAAACAGUGAUCUUCAGGGGGAGGGGGACACCCAGGAAAGCAGGGUCCUGGAGCCGUUCAGGGAGUGGCACAUGGCAGCUGCAGACUCCAACCCAGAACUGCAAAAAUACUUAGCUGUCACUCCUUAGACAUUUACUGAGCACCUUCUGUGUGCCUGGCCCUGUGCCGUAUCAGCCUCUGGAAGAGACAAGAAAUUACAGUGUAAGACGGGGCUUCCCUGGAGGUGUGUGCACCCUGCUGGGAGGUGCAGGGGCUGAAGCACGUGGCCAGUGGGGAAGGAGGGUCUGGAAGGCUUUGGAGAGGCGAUGACGUUGGCCCAGAGCGUGUAGUAGGGAAGAACAUAUGACAAGGCACAGAGGAGAUGUGAAUGUGCCGGUAAGGAGUUUCGUGGGCUUAGAGCUGUGUGUCCAGGAAUGGCGUCAGGUGAGCCCAGAGGAGAGAAAGUGGCUCCUGAGAGUGAACGAGAUCUGUGGCCCAUGGGAGAUGAUCCAUAUCUUGAAGUUUGGAGUGCCAAAAUUAGGUGGCUUAGAGAAAACGUGAGGGACAUUGACAUGUAUUUAGCUACCAAAAAAAAAGAAAAGGAAGAGAAGAACAAAGGAAGGAAGGAAGGAAGGAAGGAAGGAAGGAAGGAAGGAAGGAAGGAAGGAAGGAAGGAAGGAAGGAAGGAAGGAAGGAAGGAAAGACUAAAAUGCAUUGCAUUGAUUUUCAGGGGCAGCUACAUUUAGCAGUGUGAAGGAAGAGAGUGGAAUUCAUUCUUCAGAAACCAACCACAUUUGGCCACUUGACCAGGGCACAUCCCUGACAAUAUACACGAUUGGUAACAAAAGUCUAUCUACAACAGUGAGUGUACACAUUCGGUGUCAAUGCAGGGCCCUAAAGGGCACCGCCACAAAGCCCCCUGCGACAACCGGAAGAAUUAGCACAACAAAAACAACCACGUUUGCGAAAGUUGUCCUCGUGUUGCGUAGCAGUUCAGCCACUCUCCCUUCACACCCACACUGUCACCGGGCUUUGUACAAUUCGCUCUCGCAGUGUGUCAUGCAGAGACGUCUCUAGCAUUUAAAGGUCAAACAUUAUGAAUCUCAUCAAUCCUAGCAGUGCUGUAGUUUAUCACAUAUACCCAUAUUUAAGGAUGUUUAAAAUAAUUUAGGCCGUUGACUCAAAAGACCGUGGAUGCCUUUGGGAACGCUCGUGCUCUUAGGAAGGCAGACUCUAGUGGCAUUUCCGGUGUCCUUUCUCCCACGGGCCCAUGGCUCUGUCAUCAGUAUCCUACUUCUCCCCUGGUGCAGAAGAGCUGUUGGACGUAUUCAGGAGAAUCUAAAGUCCAUGUUUCGAUAGUUUCAAAGAACCUGAAAUCUGUAUUUGGACACAGAAGCCCACUCUGAGUUGUGAGAGUCAGAUCAUCACCAUCAAGGCCCUGGCCUCUGUCACACUCACUACUGUCCAGAGGGAAUGCGUUUGGGAGAGCAUCAGAUGCCUUCACAUGGCACACCAUUGAUUGGUUCGCCCAAGCCAGUCCAUUUCCUGAUGACCAGAGCAAAGUGAUGGCUCGUGCCUGGUUAAGAUACCAAACACUCAGCCUGCUUUUGCCUUGGCCUUUAUGCCAUUUAAUACCAAAUCCUUGCUUGAAUUACUUGUAACCAAACCCCAUGCUCUAAAAGCCUUUAAAUGCCAAGUUCCCCUGCAAACUGAAAUCAUUCCAAACCUCAACAAUUCUGUUUUACAACAAGCAUGUAAAUAUAACCUCUUCUGGAACAUUUGAGGGACGUUUAAUGAGGAUGGUGUCUCGCCAAGCCCAUCAGGGUUUCCCGGAGGGGAAACUUGUUAAUCGCAGGUCACAAACAGCGUUGGAAGUCCAGUGACAUGUCAUCAAGGUGCCUUGCCUUAUCCUCAUUACCACAUGGGGCAUUUUUCUAAACCUUGGAAUAGGCCCAUCUUUACAUUUGUAGGCUCAUUUGGGAGAAGAGAUUCAGACCCUUGCCAUUUGGACAUAUGUUAUCCAUUUUGGUGAAACAGCUCCUAGGAGGACCUCAAUCCAUCCCUCUGUUGUGGUGUCCUGUGGUGAGUCACCACCCCCCCAUUCAUCCUCCCUAAUGGAGCAUGCCUGUCUCCCAUACAGAGGCUUUCCCCUGCUCAGUACCCACUGAGAGAACCAUCACUUCUCCUAAGUUUGAGGAGACUAGUUAGAUUUUACCCUUAGAACUCACAGAAGCUCCACAUAAUGAGAGCACCAAAGUCAAAUCCUUUGGCUACCUUGAGUUUUCAUAGAUUUCAUUAUUUUUUUGUGUGUGUGUCUGUGCAAAGAGGGGUUGGGGGAGUUACACCAUCCAUAGCUUGGGACACCCAGAGAACAGACCAGUAGACGACAAAAGGGAGCCCACAUUAAAGAAACGUAAGGAAUGUGCCACCUAGUGUAGGGUUCCAUGGGGAAAUGUACUUUCUAUUUGGACACUAGAAAAAAUAUUUUUGGAAACCAGGAUUUAGAAAAAUAAAAGAUAUUUCAUUCCCAGAGACAAAGUGAUCUGCAAACGGCUGGCUCCUGUACAAUGUUCUAUCCCAAUGUCAGACCCAUAGGAAAAUGGGUAUGUUUAUGUUGGAGCAAAUGUGCCCGUGAACAUGUGCGCCGUGAUUCUGUGCGCCCUUGAGUUUAUGCAUAUGGGUGAAUGUUCACAAACUGAAGCAGCUGCAUACUAACUAUAAAAAAAAAUGAAGCAAAAUUUUAGCAGCCUCUAAUGUUUGUUAACAUCGUAGCUUUAACUUUAUUUUCUCCUAAUUUAUUAAACAGAAAUAUAGCUCCACUACACACACACACACACACACACACACACACACACUAGAAGCCCUUCCAAUGUGGCAAUAUUACCUUUCAUGUAAUACACUUGCCAACACUGUUUUUCUGUUGCAACAAGACUCAAGAUUUUUGAAUCCAAGGCCAAUGUUGCCUGCUCUGUUUACAAUGGCUUGUGUUUUGUGAAUACAUAUCAAAUGUUGUAAUAUAUUUUUAUGAUAGAAUCAAUAGUUAAUACGGGGGGGGGGAAAGUAUAU
RNAcentral lists this long non-coding RNA (5594 nucleotides) under Canis lupus familiaris (dog). RNAcentral's name for it is "lncRNA (ENSCAFG00845024768.1)". Lineage: Eukaryota; Metazoa; Chordata; Mammalia; Carnivora; Canidae. The record is from RNAcentral.